RNAcentral lists this ribosomal RNA (2289 nucleotides) under Listeria monocytogenes. RNAcentral's name for it is "partial 23S ribosomal RNA". It matches the Rfam family "Bacterial large subunit ribosomal RNA", at positions 408 to 2695 of the family's 2925-position model. The record is from RNAcentral. Lineage: Bacteria; Bacillati; Bacillota; Bacilli; Caryophanales; Listeriaceae.
CUGAGUACGGCGGAACACGUGAAAUUCCGUCGGAAUCCGGGAGGACCAUCUCCCAAGGCUAAAUACUCCCUAGUGACCGAUAGUGAACCAGUACCGUGAGGGAAAGGUGAAAAGCACCCCGGAAGGGGAGUGAAACAGUUCCUGAAACCGUGUGCCUACAAGUAGUUAGAGCCCGUUAAUGGGUGAUAGCGUGCCUUUUGUAGAAUGAACCGGCGAGUUACGAUUUGUUGCAAGGUUAAGCGGAAAAAGCGGAGCCGUAGCGAAAGCGAGUCUGAAUAGGGCGCAUAAGUAACAGGUCGUAGACCCGAAACCAGGUGAUCUACCCAUGUCCAGGAUGAAGGUAAGGUAAUACUUACUGGAGGUCCGAACCCACGCACGUUGAAAAGUGCGGGGAUGAGGUGUGGGUAGCGGAGAAAUUCCAAUCGAACUUGGAGAUAGCUGGUUCUCUCCGAAAUAGCUUUAGGGCUAGCCUCGAGGUAAAGAGUCAUGGAGGUAGAGCACUGUUUGGACUAGGGGCCCUUCUCGGGUUACCGAAUUCAGAUAAACUCCGAAUGCCAUGUACUUAUACUCGGGAGUCAGACUGCGAGUGAUAAGAUCCGUAGUCGAAAGGGAAACAGCCCAGACCACCAGUUAAGGUCCCCAAAUAUAUGUUAAGUGGAAAAGGAUGUGGGGUUGCUUAGACAACCAGGAUGUUGGCUUAGAAGCAGCCACCAUUGAAAGAGUGCGUAAUAGCUCACUGGUCGAGUGACCCCGCGCCGAAAAUGUACCGGGGCUAAACAUAUUACCGAAACUGUGGAUGAACCUCUUUAGAGGUUCGUGGUAGGAGAGCGUUCUAAGGGCGGUGAAGUCAGACCGGAAGGACUGGUGGAGCGCUUAGAAGUGAGAAUGCCGGUAUGAGUAGCGAAAGAAGGGUGAGAAUCCCUUCCACCGAAUAUCUAAGGUUUCCUGAGGAAGGCUCGUCCGCUCAGGGUUAGUCGGGACCUAAGCCGAGGCCGAUAGGCGUAGGCGAUGGACAACAGGUAGAGAUUCCUGUACCAGUGCUAAUUGUUUAACCGAUGGGGUGACACAGAAGGAUAGGGAAUCGCACGAAUGGAAAUGUGCGUCCAAGCAGUGAGUGUGAGAAGUAGGCAAAUCCGCUUCUCGCGAAGCAUGAGCUGUGAUGGGGAAGGAAAUUAAGUACGGAAGUUCCUGAUUUCACGCUGUCAAGAAAAGCCUCUAGGAAGAGUAGUACUGCCCGUACCGCAAACCGACACAGGUAGAUGAGGAGAGAAUCCUAAGGUGAGCGAGAGAACUCUCGUUAAGGAACUCGGCAAAAUGACCCCGUAACUUCGGGAGAAGGGGUGCUCUAUUAGGGUGCAAGCCCGAGAGAGCCGCAGUGAAUAGGCCCAGGCGACUGUUUAGCAAAAACACAGGUCUCUGCAAAACCGUAAGGUGACGUAUAGGGGCUGACGCCUGCCCGGUGCUGGAAGGUUAAGAGGAGUGCUUAGCUUCGGCGAAGGUACGAAUUGAAGCCCCAGUAAACGGCGGCCGUAACUAUAACGGUCCUAAGGUAGCGAAAUUCCUUGUCGGGUAAGUUCCGACCCGCACGAAAGGCGCAACGAUCUGGGCACUGUCUCAACGAGAGACUCGGUGAAAUUAUAGUACCUGUGAAGAUGCAGGUUACCCGCGACAGGACGGAAAGACCCCGUGGAGCUUUACUGCAACCUGAUAUGGAAUGUUUGUACCGCUUGUACAGGAUAGGUAGGAGCCGAAGAGACGUGUGCGCUAGCAUACGAGGAGGCAAUGGUGGGAUACUACCCUGGCUGUAUGACCAUUCUAACCCGCCACGCUUAGCGCGUGGGGAGACAGUGUCAGGUGGGCAGUUUGACUGGGGCGGUCGCCUCCUAAAGAGUAACGGAGGCGCCCAAAGGUUCCCUCAGAAUGGAUGGAAAUCAUUCGCAGAGUGUAAAGGCACAAGGGAGCUUGACUGCGAGACUGACAAGUCGAGCAGGGACGAAAGUCGGGCUUAGUGAUCCGGUGGUUCCGCAUGGAAGGGCCAUCGCUCAACGGAUAAAAGCUACCCCGGGGAUAACAGGCUUAUCUCCCCCAAGAGUCCACAUCGACGGGGAGGUUUGGCACCUCGAUGUCGGCUCGUCGCAUCCUGGGGCUGUAGUCGGUCCCAAGGGUUGGGCUGUUCGCCCAUUAAAGCGGCACGCGAGCUGGGUUCAGAACGUCGUGAGACAGUUCGGUCCCUAUCCGUCGCGGGCGCAGGAAAUUUGAGAGGAGCUGUCCUUAGUACGAGAGGACCGG